UACAUUGAAAUAUAAUGACAGCAGUUUUCUUAACUAGCAACAAGGAGGAAGAUAAUAAGCACUAUGCUCAGCAAUGGAAUCAGUGUGAGACAACUUCAGAACAAAUACUGAAAUUGCAUUUUUUCAGUGUCUAAAAGCACCUUUUAUGUAACUUACAAUUACGCAAGAUAGGCAUGCCUGUGAAGAACAGCACACACUUGAACUUAAACAUUAUGGCAUUCUAAAUCAGCUAAACAAAAGACACACCUGCAGAGGCUUUGAUCUCCUAUACUUAUUUGCAACCCACCUUGAGACAGCUGCUCUUACAACUGCCAAACUGCUUUCUCUACAUCAUCUUGAAAAGUGCAGUCCUCCAGGAAAAUCUUCUCCCUAUUAAUGUCUUCAGAGGCCUCACAUGAGUGAAGAUACAUAGAACUACAGACUAGUUAGUCUGGUCUAGAGAGAACCAGGCCUAAUGAGCGUAUUACUUCUCCAACUCAAGCAGACUUUGGUUAAUAAAAGAUACUUCCCCUGAAUCUCAUCUCAGCACUCCAAAAUAGAACUCAUAGUAACUCAGAUGUCUGUGCAAUGGCUGAGCAAUGCAAGCUGGUCCAUGCUAGCAAAAACCAGUGGAUUUGGAAAGAACAGGCAAGAGGAUAUUGCAUUGGAAAGAAGAGACUUCCAUGACAAGGAUGUUCAAAAGUAGCACAGAUGAUUCUGAAGUAAAAGCUAUAAAAUAUUUUCAACAGAAGAAUUUCCUUCCCCUCUAAAUAUUCAGUUCUUGAAGACAGUUUCAAACAAACCCUUCCUACAUUUCAGCUUAAUGGCAAAAUCUGCUCUCGAGAACUGCUCACCACUUCCUCCUCUAAGUACCACUUAGUGCAGAACCAGCCUUAAUAACAGAAAUCUCUCUGAGAAAUGCAAAAAACAAGCCAGAUGCAGAAGAAGAGAGUCCCCAGAUCCACAUUAAGUGUUCUGUGAGAAUACUGCCUUUAUGGGAGACAUCACUGACACCUUCAGUCUCCUCUUCCUGCUGCCCUACUCCCUUGCUAGCAGGGACAAUGUGUUACAUUGGAAGACCUACUUGCAGCACACCAAGAACAAGCACUGCAACCAAGGCCUUUUUGCAAUUGAUAUUGGUGCCUAUUAUUCAGUCUGCCCUGCUAUUCUGCAAAACAAGGUACCAGCUCUCCAGAACCACACUCCCUGUACAGAAUUCCUCAUCUAAUCAGUGUUGUGCUAAUUGAUGGGAUGCAUAUCUGCAGUUUUCAUUUCCUUGUUCCCCUGCCCUUCUUUGCUGUUACACCCUGAGAUACACAUGAGCCAGCAACUGGCUGAUGAAAGAUAAGAACUAAAAGCAAAUUAUGUAAAAACCAAAUAAAUUAUUGCAACUCCACU
Cinclus cinclus is the source of this 1377-nucleotide long non-coding RNA. RefSeq lists it as uncharacterized. The transcript has 2 exons. The record is from RefSeq and is a predicted model, not a curated record. NCBI's taxonomy places the organism in Eukaryota, Metazoa, Chordata, Aves, Passeriformes, Cinclidae.